GGGCGUAAAGGGCUCGCAGGCGGUUUCUUAAGUCUGAUGUGAAAGCCCCCGGCUCAACCGGGGAGGGUCAUUGGAAACUGGGGAACUUGAGUGCAGAAGAGGAGAGUGGAAUUCCACGUGUAGCGGUGAAAUGCGUAGAGAUGUGGAGGAACACCAGUGGCGAAGGCGACUCUCUGGUCUGUAACUGACGCUGAGGAGCGAAAGCGUGGGGAGCGAACAGGAUUAGAUACCCUGGUAGUCCACGCCGUAAACGAUGAGUGCUAAGUGUUAGGGGGUUUCCGCCCCUUAGUGCUGCAGCUA
RNAcentral lists this ribosomal RNA (300 nucleotides) under Bacillus amyloliquefaciens. RNAcentral's name for it is "bacterial SSU rRNA". It matches the Rfam family "Bacterial small subunit ribosomal RNA", at positions 556 to 854 of the family's 1533-position model. The record is from RNAcentral. Lineage: Bacteria; Bacillati; Bacillota; Bacilli; Caryophanales; Bacillaceae.